RNAcentral lists this long non-coding RNA (489 nucleotides) under Felis catus (domestic cat). RNAcentral's name for it is "lncRNA (ENSFCAG00000046771.2)". The record is from RNAcentral. Lineage: Eukaryota; Metazoa; Chordata; Mammalia; Carnivora; Felidae.
AUGGAGAAGCAGGAGAGAGGACCCAUGAAGUCCAGUGACUAUCUCCCCCCACCCACCAACUUGCAAUACCGCUUUAAAAGGGGGGAGGAGUCACAGUCUGUGGCUGGAACUGCAAAUGAGAAGGCCACACGCAUCUUCCAAGGCACCGCUCAGCUGAAGCUUGGACCUCCUGGAUGCCAGGCGUGCAAGGUCUGUUCUCACCUCGAGCAGGGUUUGAGCAAAUGGAUCUUUCUGUGCUGGCUUCCUGCCAGAUCCUUUUCCACCUCUUUAUUCCUCGUUCUCUGUCGUCCUUGCCUAAGAAACCACCAUCUGGCCACAGAGCCGCCUAAGGAAGGGAUUGGUGCAUCGAGACGGCUGUCACGAGCAUCCUAUCAGCCCGCCUUCAAGGAGAAUCAUCUCAAGGGGCGCCCGGUGAGCUCGGUGAAACGACUGAAUCUUGAUCUCCGCGUUGUGCGUUCCAGCCCCACGUGGGGUAUAGAGAUUACUUAA